UAUAAAAAAGUUUCAUGCAAAUAUAUGUAUUGAAUAUGGUUAUAUGCAAUUCCUUUAACUGUUUUAUGUAUUUUGGAAUGUUACUUUGAUGAGCAAUUACGGACCAUCUGAAAGAUAAAGAAAGGGUUCCGACCACGAUUCUGACCGGAUGUCGCUUAUAUGGAGAUAGUCGUGCACGAUUAGUUGGUUUGUUUGUUUAAAUACUCAUAUACAUCUCGCCUCUGAUUGGGUUCAGAUCUUUUUUAUUCGUGUCAUAGGUCUGAUUGCAAGGGUUUUUUCUUUUCGUAUUCUGAUUUGGUUCAGGAACACCAGUAACCGUGUGGAUACAGGUGCAUUGCCUCCGUUUCAGUUCAGCUAUUUGAGAAAUAGGAAAUCAUUAUCUGAGUUUUGGCGGGAUUGUCCUAUUGUGAGUAUAUAUUUUAGCUUAUUUAAUGAUUUGUUUAUUUUGUGUUGAUUUAUUUCAUGAUUUCAUCCUGUUUGUGGCCUUUUAAUGAAUGAGAG
Helianthus annuus (common sunflower) is the source of this 501-nucleotide long non-coding RNA. RefSeq lists it as uncharacterized. Lineage: Eukaryota; Viridiplantae; Streptophyta; Magnoliopsida; Asterales; Asteraceae. The record is from RefSeq and is a predicted model, not a curated record. The transcript has 3 exons.